Molecule: transfer-messenger RNA, 337 nt
Filed under: Candidatus Actinomarinaceae
Lineage: Bacteria; Bacillati; Actinomycetota; Actinomycetes; Candidatus Actinomarinales
Also listed under: 1 other name
Description: g Actinomarina X3 Standard tmRNA
Rfam family: transfer-messenger RNA
About the family: Bacterial tmRNA, also known as 10Sa RNA or SsrA, is named for its dual tRNA and mRNA-like properties. Its role is to liberate the mRNA from a stalled ribosome.
Source: RNAcentral
GGGGGUGAACUGGCUUCGACUUUGAAGUGAGUCUCUCAGUAGCGAGCCGAGGGUCCUAGGGCCUCGUAAAAAACGUAGGAAAAAUAAUAACUGCUAAACCUAAAUUAGCAAUAGCUGCGUAAGUAGCUCACUACCUUAUCGGGGUUCCCAUCUCGGAUAGGGAUAGUGUCAAAAUAUGGGAUGCCAAGUUGCUUUACCGAACAACUUGAAAGCUUAAGGUAAAAACUAUAUAGAGUAGGUUUUCGGUGGCUCUCUAAAUAGUAAUUCACCGAAUGCGCUCGGAGAAGCUGUUUGAUAGCUUAAAAGGACCGGGGUUCAACUCCCCGCACCUCCACCA